RNAcentral lists this ribosomal RNA (547 nucleotides) under Rhodotorula sp. RNAcentral's name for it is "eukaryotic LSU rRNA". It matches the Rfam family "Eukaryotic large subunit ribosomal RNA", at positions 82 to 626 of the family's 3401-position model. Lineage: Eukaryota; Fungi; Basidiomycota; Microbotryomycetes; Sporidiobolales; Sporidiobolaceae. The record is from RNAcentral.
AGUAACGGCGAGUGAAGCGGGAAGAGCUCAAAUUUGUAAUCUGGCACUUUCAGUGUCCGAGUUGUAAUCUCGAGAAGUAUUUUCCGCGCCGGACCGCAUACAAGUCUGUUGGAAUACAGCGUCAUAGUGGUGAGAACCCCGUAACUGAUGCGGAUGCCCGGUGCUUUGUGAUAUACUUUCGAAGAGUCGAGUUGUUUGGGAAUGCAGCUCAAAUUGGGUGGUAAAUUCCAUCUAAAGCUAAAUAUUGGAGCAAGACCGAUAGCGAACAAGUACCGUGAGGGAAAGAUGAAAAGCACUUUGGAAAGAGAGUUAACAGUACGUGAAAUUGUUGGAAGGGAAACGCUUGAAGUCAGACUUGCUAUUCGGAGUUCAGCCGCAAGGUGUAUUCUUCGAUUCGCAGGCCAGCAUCAGUUUUCGGGGGUGGAAAAUCACGGUUUGAAGGUAGCAACCUCGGUUGUGUUAUAGCUUUCCGUUGGAUUCAUCCUUGGGGACUGAGGAACGCAGUACGCUUUUUGCAAGGCUCUCGAGCUUUUCGUACUUAGGAUGC